Lycium ferocissimum is the source of this 720-nucleotide long non-coding RNA. RefSeq lists it as uncharacterized. The transcript has 3 exons. NCBI's taxonomy places the organism in Eukaryota, Viridiplantae, Streptophyta, Magnoliopsida, Solanales, Solanaceae. The record is from RefSeq and is a predicted model, not a curated record.
UAUACAUAUUAAAUGAAUUUUUUAAUAUUACGGGAUUUGAGCCAAAGUUACGGAUUUGGCAGAAGUUAAUUUUCCAUUAUCUCAAGGAGGCAUAAAGAUUGGCAGCUGAUAAAGCGAGAAUCACCAGUGCAGAUGCUACAGUUGAUGGUCUGUAGCACAAGUGCUCAUGACCCAGCAAAGCUAGUACUGCCAGGUAAGGCAAAAUCAUGAAAUUUCAGAUCUUGAGCAACUGUACAACAUGGUUAAUCUUUGUACCAUAAGAAGUUGUAUAUUGUUGGAAGAAAGCACUGGAAGUUGAGGACCUCCUGCACCAGCCACUCCAUAGCCACCACUUCAGAACAGCUAUAUGCAGUGCCUGCAACAACGAAUGUCUUCUGACGAAUGCUGAAACAGAAGUUGUGAACUUGUCAAAUAAGUAGCUUUUUUGCAAAUGACACCUAAGCAGAUUAGUAUGCUUUAAUAAUGAUAGGGAAUGUUAAAUAUAAAGACUUUUGAAUUGUGUAAUGUCCUGAGUCUCGUCAAUUUGAGCUUUCCUUUCUGAAAUUUUUGCUAUAUUUCCCAGUAAGUAACAUCGCAGAAAAUGAAUGCAAGGUAAUUUGCAAUAGCUGAACUCCCUCAGAUUUUACAUUUGAUUUCAAGCUCUUUCUCAAUGCACUUUCUUUAGCCAAUUCAUUCUGAUACUCUAGUGGCUCUCAAUUGAAGAAGGCCUAAAUAAUAUCA